GGGCCCAUGGUCUAGUCGGUUAUGACGUCGCCCUCACACGGCGGAGGUCCGGGGUUCGAGUCCCCGUGGGCCCA
RNAcentral lists this transfer RNA (74 nucleotides) under Thermoplasmatales archaeon. Its description in RNAcentral is "tRNA-Val". It matches the Rfam family "tRNA". Rfam says of the family: Transfer RNA (tRNA) molecules are approximately 80 nucleotides in length. Their secondary structure includes four short double-helical elements and three loops (D, anti-codon, and T loops). The record is from RNAcentral. RNAcentral also lists the same sequence under 1 other name. Lineage: Archaea; Methanobacteriati; Thermoplasmatota; Thermoplasmata; Thermoplasmatales.